Molecule: ribosomal RNA, 780 nt
Filed under: Bradyrhizobium sp.
Lineage: Bacteria; Pseudomonadati; Pseudomonadota; Alphaproteobacteria; Hyphomicrobiales; Nitrobacteraceae
Description: bacterial SSU rRNA
Rfam family: Bacterial small subunit ribosomal RNA
Source: RNAcentral
ACCAUGCAAGUCGAGCGGGUGUAGCAAUACAUCAGCGGCAGACGGGUGAGUAACGCGUGGGAACGUACCUUUUGGUUCGGAACAACACAGGGAAACUUGUGCUAAUACCGGAUAAGCCCUUACGGGGAAAGAUUUAUCGCCGAAAGAUCGGCCCGCGUCUGAUUAGCUAGUUGGUGAGGUAAUGGCUCACCAAGGCGACGAUCAGUAGCUGGUCUGAGAGGAUGAUCAGCCACAUUGGGACUGAGACACGGCCCAAACUCCUACGGGAGGCAGCAGUGGGGAAUAUUGGACAAUGGGGGCAACCCUGAUCCAGCCAUGCCGCGUGAGUGAUGAAGGCCCUAGGGUUGUAAAGCUCUUUUGUGCGGGAAGAUAAUGACGGUACCGCAAGAAUAAGCCCCGGCUAACUUCGUGCCAGCAGCCGCGGUAAUACGAAGGGGGCUAGCGUUGCUCGGAAUCACUGGGCGUAAAGGGUGCGUAGGCGGGUUUUUAAGUCAGGGGUGAAAUCCUGGAGCUCAACUCCAGAACUGCCUUUGAUACUGAAGAUCUUGAGUCCGGGAGAGGUGAGUGGAACUGCGAGUGUAGAGGUGAAAUUCGUAGAUAUUCGCAAGAACACCAGUGGCGAAGGCGGCUCACUGGCCCGGUACUGACGCUGAGGCACGAAAGCGUGGGGAGCAAACAGGAUUAGAUACCCUGGUAGUCCACGCCGUAGACGAUGAAUGCCAGCCGUUAGUGGGUUUACUCACUAGUGGCGCAGCUAACGCUUAGCAUCGUCUGGGAGUA